AAGACAGAUCGGGCAGUCGCGGUGGCGCAAGCCAUCGAGGAAGGUCCGGACUCCACAGGGCAGGGUAGCGGCUAACGGCCGUCCGGUCCGGCGCGCAAGCGUCGGGCUGAGGAACAGGGCCACAGAGACGAGUCUGCAGAGCGGGCGUCCUUCGGGGCGCACCGGCACGGCCAUCUCCGUGCCGUGGCGGCUGGCAACGGCCGUCGGCGCUGCAGGGUGAAACGCGGCAACCUCUACCCGGAGCAACAUCAAAUAGGCAUGCGCACGGCCUUCGUGGCCGGAAAGGGCGGCUCGUUCGAGCAUGCGGGUAGGUGGCUAGAGCGUGCCAGCAAUGGCACGCCCAGAGGAAUGAUUGCCCGCCGGGGAAACCCGGCGUACAGAAUCCGGCCUAUAGAUCUGUCUUGCCU
RNAcentral lists this RNase P RNA (407 nucleotides) under Bordetella trematum. RNAcentral describes it as "Bacterial RNase P class A". It matches the Rfam family "Bacterial RNase P class A". From Rfam's summary of the family: Ribonuclease P (RNase P) is a ubiquitous endoribonuclease, found in archaea, bacteria and eukarya as well as chloroplasts and mitochondria. Its best characterised activity is the generation of mature 5'-ends of tRNAs by cleaving the 5'-leader elements of precursor-tRNAs. Lineage: Bacteria; Pseudomonadati; Pseudomonadota; Betaproteobacteria; Burkholderiales; Alcaligenaceae. The record is from Rfam by way of RNAcentral.